UACGGAGGGUGCAAGCGUUAUCCGGAUUUACUGGGUUUAAAGGGUGCGUAGGUGGGCAGGUAAGUCAGUGGUGAAAUCUCCGGGCUUAACCCGGAAACUGCCAUUGAUACUAUCUGUCUUGAAUUUCCUGGAGGUAAGCGGAAUAUGUCAUGUAGCGGUGAAAUGCUUAGAUAUGACAUAGAACACCAAUUGCGAAGGCAGCUUACUACGGGAAUAUUGACACUGAGGCACGAAAGCGUGGGGAUCAAACAGGAA
This 255-nucleotide ribosomal RNA is filed under the name uncultured bacterium. RNAcentral describes it as "partial 16S ribosomal RNA". It matches the Rfam family "Bacterial small subunit ribosomal RNA", at positions 524 to 778 of the family's 1533-position model. The record is from RNAcentral.